GUUCUCCAUGCCAUACCACAUGUUUUUCUGCUGAAGAUGAAAUGUGAGGAGGUUUGCUGCCACAGUACACAUCUGUAUGGUUGUUCUUGAGCAAAUAUGCCGUCUUUGUUGAUAAAUCUGAAUAUCUCCAUGCGAUAACUACAAGGCAUGAAUAUGACAGUGCACUGUCGCAUUUACAAGCCAUAUAGUUCAUCUAGCUGAGUGCUACAUCUCACCCAGGUUCUUCAAUGUGGCAGCCCAAUUAUUUAUUGGCAGCUUUUUUUUGCUUGCCGAGCCUGAUACCUACUUUGUAUCUCUCUCGGAUAUAUGUAGGUCUGUUGAAGAAAAUAUGCGCAUUUCGUGUGCAUGUCAACCUAAAAGUACUAGAGCAUUCCUGUUGUUCUUUGAUCAGCACCAGAUGUUCAUGUCCCUACAUGCCCUGUUAUCUAUCUAUUUCUUUUAGAGAAUGGAUACAUAAGAGAGACUUGCAACUCAUAUACCUACGGUUCAGUUCGGUUGUGUUGUCUCCCAGGCAGUGCAUUUGAAAAUAAAAGUGCCAAUGCAAGAAGAUUGGUGUUGACUGUAACUGCAUUGGGAAAAAAACUCAUCCCCGUGUUGAUGCUUAUAAGUGCCCUAGGAGUUCAUAUAUAUCAGACGAGCUAAGGUCCAUGGUGCUUGGUUUGACAUUAUGUCUGUUAUUAUGGUAAAACAUCUGCUGGAAAAGUUAGCUGCCAUAUUUGGAUUGUACAUCAAUCAAGAGAGGCAGAAUGGAAGGUACAGUUCCUGGAAAAAGAGUAGAUCAGUUUAGGGAUCAGCUGAAGGAGGGGUCUAUUUACACCACUGAAAAAUUUGAUUUGUAUGAUCCUAGAAAGAGCUACAGGUCAGUGGAUCAUCCUUUGCGGAUCUUCUUUACUAUGAGGGUGGUGCUGCCGCCGGAGAAUUUUUCCUAUGUAUACCUAUACUAUUGUCCCGUUUAGCAUGCUGUCGGAUUGCAUUGAUCAGAAUAACUUAAAUCCAAUUUACAGAUGUUGUCGGAUGGCUUAACAAAGUCACCGAUGUUUUUGCCUCCUUUUGGUAAUACAAAGAGCCAAAAGCGACAAAUUUAUAUCACGGAUGGAAGGUGUCGAUCGCUGCUAUCUUAAAUUACUUUUUUCCAUAGUCGAAGCAUCUGCCAAGGCACGUCGAAUUACACACUGGAAACCAAAGUCAUACAGAGCCGACCAUGUCAAUGAUCGCGGAAAUAGCGACAUUAGGACCCAAUUGCAUCAUGGUAUGUUUGGUGUUUUAUAGUAUGUUUUCUUCCCUGCAUUCUCAGAAUAAAUCAAUUGAUAAUCGUGUUAAGGGUGAACGGUACAAGAUGUACAUUUGAAUUACUGAGGUUCUUACAGACAAAGGCUGGUAUUACAUAAGUUGCAAAGAAUGUUAGAAAAAACUUAAGCUAGAUGAUAGGGUAUACAAAUGCCCUCAGUGUCCUGCUGUUAUACCUCUUCCAAGGUACACACGUAUUUGUCAUAUCUUCUGUUCUUCAGGAUGUUUAUUCUUCAGUUUCUUUUUUUGUGGCAAAUGCUUACAUCAUUUUUUUCCUUUUGUUAUUGCUUUGUCAGAUAUAGGUUUAUUGUCCGAGCAGUUAAUUCUGCUUCAGCAGAUCCACAUACCGGCAAAUUCACAAACUUUAUUUGUUUGGGCCUUGCAGAGAGGUUGUUGUCGGAAAAGAAACAUUACACUUGUGUCCAGUGUCAGAGGAACGGCUAAUACUGUGCUUCAGGAUUUGCUUGCCAUCGUGGGAAGAUAGUUCAGCGUUGUUGUCGCUCCUAGACGUGAAUCUCGCUGGAUACAUUGCACAGCCACAUUCGGGUACAGAUUGCUGAUCCAAUUUCCGUGUCACUGUUACUCGACGACAGGGCAUGGAUGAUUCAGCCACAAGUCAAGGCAAUGAGACUCUCUCUGCUCCUCCUGAAACUCCAAAACAUGUUCAAGGUCCAAGUGAGACUUCCACUCCACGCCACAAAGUGCAACAUCAUCGGCUUCUGUUAUUGAUGAGACUGGCUCUCAUGUGGCGGAAGGGGAAAAAAGAAAAAAUAUUGUUGCCGACAAGAACACUAAUCUUAGAAGGGAUUACACUUCACAGAUGAUGACUAGGAUCUUGGACACACAGGAUAUAAAGGGCACAAUAUCUUGGACAUCUGUCUACACACUGGUCUUCUGCAGAUAAAUGCAGCGAGGGAGCUUUGUUAUUCCCGAGCUGUUGUUCAGGGCCUAUAUGUUUGGACCCUGAAUACACUUCCAUGUUUAUGUAUCUACGUCAACCACCCGGUUAGGCUAUGUGCUUAGGUUGUAUGUGUUAUUUAGCCUCAUAGAUGUACGUUGUGUUUGGAUUGCUAGAAGCGAUUUGUCAGUUGCCGUUUCUAAUGUAUUAUAUCUUUCCCCGCACUGCUUAUGUUUUAUAUUGUACAAUUUCCAGGCUCUGUUCUUAUGUUAUGACUAUGAUCAUUUGUUGAUUUUGUUUUGCCACCUAUACAUAUGCUAUUUCCUCA
This is a non-coding RNA of Lolium perenne, 2513 nucleotides long. The record is from RefSeq and is a predicted model, not a curated record. Lineage: Eukaryota; Viridiplantae; Streptophyta; Magnoliopsida; Poales; Poaceae.